Molecule: ribosomal RNA, 484 nt
Filed under: uncultured bacterium
Lineage: Bacteria
Description: partial 16S ribosomal RNA
Rfam family: Bacterial small subunit ribosomal RNA
Source: RNAcentral
AUUGAACGCUGGCGGCAGGCCUAACACAUGCAAGUCGAGCGGAUGAAGGGAGCUUGCUCCUGGAUUCAGCGGCGGACGGGCGAGUAAUGCCUAGGAAUCUGCCUGGUAGUGGGGGCUAACGUCCGGAAACGGGCGCUAAUACCGCAUACGUCCUUAGGGAGAAAGUGUGGGAUCUUCGGACCUCACGCUAUCAGAUGAGCCUAGGUCGGAUUAGCUAGUUGGUGGGGUAAAGGCCUACCAAGGCGACGAUCCGUAACUGGUCUGAGAGGAUGAUCAGUCACACUGGAACUGAGACACGGUCCAGACUCCUACGGGAGGCAGCAGUGGGGAAUAUUGGACAAUGGGCGAAAGCCUGAUCCAGCCAUGCCGCGUGUGUGAAGAAGGUCUUCGGAUUGUAAAGCACUUUAAGUUGGGAGGAAGGGCAGUAAGUUAAUACCUUGCUGUUUUGACGUUACCAACAGAAUAAGCACCGGCUAACUUCGUG